UUCCCGACGGCGGAGGACGAGAAGGUGGCCGCCGUGCUUGCCGCGGCCGCCGAUGCGUAGAGGAGGGGCGGUCAGCGCAGAAGCCCAGCUCCAAGAAUGAAGGGAUCCCCUCCUCACCUCGUCCCCGUCCUCUUCCCUACCCAGCGGACAGCCGGAGGAGGAGGAUAUGCCGUCUCUCUCCUUCCCGUACAUCGAAGGUGAGCUCCUCUACACCCAAGAGGACGCAGGCUCGCCGUGCACAACGACGGAGCAGCAACCCGCGCCCCUCCUCCCCACCAUGAUACAUCCUCCCCCGGUCGUCGGAUCCGGCCGAGAUCAGUUUUGGACGUGCUACCACUGGGGUGCAUCCCUUUCUUACGCCCCCACGUCGGCCUCCAUGGUUGUUGUCCUCCUCUUGGUCAUGUUCUCACGGCUGGCUUCAAAGAUUACACUCGGCGGUGGCUUAACUGAAUUCAGAGAAGUUUGGACGUAUACAGUUCUACAAUCAAGCACGUGUAUGUGUUUGAUAUAAUGCCUAAAUGUACUAGCAUCCUUUUUGUUGCAUUGGCUGUUGGUGCAUAACAAAUGAGUAGAUGAUCUUAAUUUUCUAUAAGGAUGAUAAUCCUGACUCUUAUUUUUGACCUUCUUUUACUGUGUAUAACAUGCUAAUUUCAACUGAAUAGACUGCCAAUUUGCCAAUCAGUUUGUGUUAUUUUCACUGAAUAUUUUGUUGAUGUGCAGUAAAAUGUUUGUGGUUGCAGGCAGAUCUUGAGUGGAUUAUGUCCUUUAACUCAGAUUUGCUCAUUGCUGUCGGUGGAUACUUGCUCUGAGGGUGUGAUCUGCAUCAUCGUCAUGUAUUGUGUCGGUCAUAAGGAUUGUGGUUGUGGCAGUGCUUCAGCGCUAAGGGCAUGUUUCCAUCAGAAUGUUGGAGCAGCUGGCUCAGCCAACAUGGUGAGGGUGUCUCCCAAGACCUCUGGAUGGGAUUGGCAUUCCACAAAUUGUUCAAUACCUUAUCUACUUUGCAACAAUGGGAUGAUGAGCUGAUUUCUCGUCUAGCGUAAAGAGAGAGAAUGAUAUAUCCGAUGUUCUUAAUUACUAGAGUCAGGGUCCUGCUCAAAUCGUGGUCCUUCUGUUCUAUGUAAUUUUAUUUUCUUGAUGAUGUGAUGUUCUGCCAUUCAUUCUAUGUUAUGCCUGAUGCGUGUGUCUUAAGCCUACCAAUAACUUUUUGGAUCAAUGGUAAAUCUACUGAGCAAACUCCUGUCUUAUCCCAAUUGUGUGUCUUAAGGUUAAUCUAUUCAUAGUUACUUUUCCUUACAAAGGUCAUCUC
This 1306-nucleotide long non-coding RNA is filed under the name Triticum aestivum (bread wheat). Its description in RNAcentral is "long non-coding RNA (TAES_LNC015741)". Lineage: Eukaryota; Viridiplantae; Streptophyta; Magnoliopsida; Poales; Poaceae. The record is from RNAcentral.